AAGGAAGAGGGAGGCACUGCAGAUGUGACUGCUAUGUCACAUGUGUCUCAGUAGGUUGCAGAAAAGAGAGAAGCUAUGUCUAGACUCUGUUUUAAUCUGUGAACAUUUGAAUGAUUAGUAGUCUAACAUA
Small nucleolar RNA from Apodemus sylvaticus (European woodmouse), 130 nucleotides. RefSeq annotates it as small nucleolar RNA SNORA17. Lineage: Eukaryota; Metazoa; Chordata; Mammalia; Rodentia; Muridae. The record is from RefSeq and is a predicted model, not a curated record. The transcript has a single exon.